This 465-nucleotide ribosomal RNA is filed under the name uncultured bacterium. Its description in RNAcentral is "partial 16S ribosomal RNA". It matches the Rfam family "Bacterial small subunit ribosomal RNA", at positions 28 to 507 of the family's 1533-position model. The record is from RNAcentral.
GACGAACGCUGGCGGCGUGCUUAACACAUGCCAGUCGAACGGAAAGGCCCUGCUUGCAGGGUACUCGAGUGGCGAACGGGUGAGUAACACGUGGGUGAUCUGCCCUGCACUUCGGGAUAAGCCUGGGAAACUGGGUCUAAUACCGGAUAGGAGCCAUUUUUAGUGUGAUGGUUGGAAAGUUUUUUCGGUGUAGGAUGAGCUCGCGGCCUAUCAGCUUGUUGGUGGGGUAAUGGCCUACCAAGGCGGCGACGGGUAGCCGGCCUGAGAGGGUGGACGGCCACAUUGGGACUGAGAUACGGCCCAGACUCCUACGGGAGGCAGCAGUGGGGAAUAUUGCACAAUGGGCGCAAGCCUGAUGCAGCGACGUCGCGUGGGGGAUGACGGCCUUCGGGUUGUAAACUCCUUUCGCUAGGGACGAAGCUUUUUGUGACGGUACCUAGAUAAGAAGCACCGGCUAACUACGUG